Molecule: RNA transcript, 1390 nt
Organism: Cyanidioschyzon merolae strain 10D
Lineage: Eukaryota; Rhodophyta; Bangiophyceae; Cyanidiales; Cyanidiaceae
Exons: 1
Source: RefSeq, a predicted model, not a curated record
AUUAAGUGUACUUCCUUUCGCAUGGACUCGUUGUAUUAUACCUUCUAUGGUCGGCCGAGCGCAUGCCUUGCCGCAUCCGCAUUAGCGCCUAGACCGUUGGGGCGGAUGCAUCCCGGAGACAGCACGGCUUUGCCGUACCACUGAGGGCGUCAAGUCCAGGUGCGCUGGACUCGACACGGGAUCAGAGUACGUAAGCUUUCUAGGAGUCAGCCGUAUAUGCUCUGGAAGACUCAGUUCCGGAGAAUGAGGUCAGGCAAGGAGACUAGAAACACUGACGUCAGGUUUCCACUAUCCUUUUGGUAGAACGUCCACGAAUUCGAGGUCGAGAGCAAAACGAGGCGAUCCGACGAUCUGACGCAUUUCUUGUUCUGGUUGCGACAUCGCUCCGAACGAGAAUCCACAACGAGCGCUUCCACGGGCAGCUCUUCGUUCACCUGAAUCGUUACGCCAAGAAGCUCUUCCAUCAGUGCCUGCUUUUCUGGUCCACUUAGGUUACAGAAGAACUGGCUAAACGGGUACGACGACGGGUACGAGUGUGCCUCAUGUAGCGUUCGGCACAUGGAACCGCGUACGGUUUUAGUUUCUGCGGUUUGCCUUAUAUAUAUGGCGUCUGCAUAAGGUAUGUACCGACCGCAGGGGUGGCGUACCAGCGCUUCAAGAUAAUAUGGCGAGCGUCUCGGCAAAUCCCUGAUCCUUCAGUCAGGCCAGAUUGUAUUUCCUGUCCCGAGUAUCAGUUUUGUUAUCGCAUGAAUAUUUGUGCACAAAAUCUCUAGAGGAAUGCGGACCGGUUGCAGCCUUGCAUCCGGAACCCCUGAACGACAAAUUGCUCGUCGAGGUGCUUGUAACUGAGCAAAGCUGGCGAGCCUUCGUCCUGCAAAAUGCUACAAAAUUUUUCACGGCGCCCUGUAUCUCUCAAUAUUACGGAUGCGAAGAGCUGAUCUAUGGAUUCGGAAGCACAGAAAUGGCGUUUGGCAACAGAGAGGGCGCAUUCCACUCGGGUGAACACGGAAGAGAAUGCUUGCAUGAGAGGCGGCUCACCGCGAAUUACAGCUUCGUCGUCCUUGAGUCCUGGCGCUUGGUGGAAAGUGACGUUUCCUGUCAACGGGAAAGAGGCAUAUGGGAUGGAGAAGCCAAGACGUGCUUCGACGAAGGAAGAGCUAUUGGACGAUCCCGUCCGUUUGGUGUGAGUUGUCGGCGACCCUACGAUUGAAUCGUCGAUAACGCCGAUGCUGUUGUAAUUCCUGUUUGUCUGCGGUAUGCGAAAAGCGGUUCGCUUCUCGCUGAGUACCCGUGUGCAGGUCUACACUAUCUCCGGAAUGAGGGCUGAUCCAGUGAGAGGAGCGCCAUUGUUUCUUUGCAUAAACGUUUGCGUCUCAAGACGUAAUCGAUU